This 11629-nucleotide long non-coding RNA is filed under the name Gallus gallus (chicken). The record is from RNAcentral. Lineage: Eukaryota; Metazoa; Chordata; Aves; Galliformes; Phasianidae.
AAGCCACAAACCUUGAAUGCUAAAGAUUACAGAUGAGAUAUACACCUAAAUACCCACUUAAAGAUAGAAACUGAGAUUUCUCACUUCCUUGCAGAAGAUGAACAACUGAUUCAGCAGCUCAUUUCUGGCUUUAGCAAUUCCAUCCAUUCCUGAGUUUCCUCUUAUAUCUCAGGUCCCUUUUCAGCAGGUCACAGUCCUUAUCUCAGCCUCUUCUGUGCCCUGCUAAUCACCCAUUGCUCUUUUUCUUUAGAUGAGUAAAUUUAUUUUCACUAAUUAAUCUUCAACCUCUGUGAUAAGGAUUCCUCAAUCUUCUGCUGAAGGCUAUAUUAAAGAAACUUCAGUUUGAAGUGGGAAAAUUUAUUAUUAUUAGAAUUAUUCUAUUAGAAUUAUUAUUAUUAGAAUUUAUUCUUUUUCUCUUUAAUUCUCCUCAAUACUACAUUUCUUCACAAAUCUACAUUUACUCCUUCUUGCUGUUCACUUCUCCCAUAGUUAUUGUUUUGGAUGCCUCCCUUCUCCAAUUGUAAUCUAAAUUUUCUUACUACGUGCCAGACUGUUUCCUGUGUUUCUUGAACUAUUAUUCCCAUCUAUAGACCGUCAGUACUUUUAUAGCACUCAGUUAUUAGAAUCUCUUCCUUCUGGUCUCCUUGACAGUAAUUCUGAUUUUUUCCCUUUCUCUGUUGUGACAUACAGGGUCAUUUGCAUGCACAUUUGUACACUAAUAAUUUAGAGCUUCAAAUCAUCUUCCUUGACUAUCCCUUUGAAUACACUGCACUGUAUCUUGCAAUUUUCACUAUUUUCCUUCCCCCAUAAUGAAUUCAAGCUUCUGAUCUUCAGGCAGGACUUGAUCUGGACCAAAAAACUCAGCGACCUGUUAUCACAUACUCCAAAUAAUAUAUUGAUGCAAUUCUACACUAAAAACUUGCAGAACUUUUUGUCUUAUUAUUUCACUGAACAGUUACUUCAGAAGCUGUGGCAGUUACAGUCAGAAAACUGAUAUUUUCACCUGCUUUUAAACGUGGCUCAUGUAGAUCCUUUUACUGUGGUUCUAGCAUUAUAUAUAUUUUUUUCCAGUUCCUUACAGUAGAUACUCUGACUACCAAAAGGAAUCAGUAAAAUAACUGUGGGCAUCUGGGCAAACAACACUAUAAUCACCACAUUGCUCCUCAAAAGACAGAAAGAGAGCACCAUUUGUGCAAUGAAAUUUAACACUGCUUCCCUUGUGUUUGUAUGGAGAAUUUCCCUCUGCACCAUAGCUGGAAUAAUUCCCACAGCCCAAAACUGGCUGAAUCUGGUUUAAUCUGGGUUUCCUGACUUUAGGGAACUUAUACAAGCCAAAAUUUCCCCAUGAAUGAUUCCCUUACACAUUCAUCUCCCCAGCUUUGUGUGAAAACAAGACAUUACCAAUCUCAAAACUGCACUGAGACACACUACCACUGUGGUUACUUUGAACCCUAAAGUAUGCCUCUCUCCUUCCAUGCAUAAUGCAGUGCUUGUGCAUUUUCCCAGUACCUGGCACACUUGUUUAGACUGGGUGCUUAAAUUCAUCUCUUUUGGAGAACAGAUAGCAGUAGAAGUCCACCCAAUGGAGAACUUUAGCUGCAAUGGUUGUGCUCGAUAAAAGGUCAUUUUUCAGUUGAUCCAGAUCCUAUUUCCAGUAGUGGUAACACUGAGAUGGCAGAGCUCAUGCAGCACAGACCACGUGGGAACUUGUUGCAGAUGGUCCACUGAGCAAAUGCUGAUUGCAGCUUAAUUUUGAGCUGUGAAAGUCAGUGACAGGUUGUUCAGGCAAUUAAGCAAAGAAAAACAACAACAACAACAACAAAAACAACAACAACAAAAAAGGCACCAAAAAGGCAAUUUUGUAAAUCAGACCGCUAAAAGCCAUUUGAUUCUAGAAACUUGAGGUUAUAUCAAGCUAACAGGACACCAUAUGUGUGUGUGUCCAUUUAUUAAAGCCUUUGUCUGUGUGUAAAAAUUAAAGAGUAUUUUUGGUAAAGGCCAGAUACAUUUCAAAUAGGAAGUGAAAUGCAAUGUCUUUGUACAUCUGUUCAACCAAAAAAAUAAUGAAAAAUAUUUUUGUAGGCAUUUUUCUCAGGCAUUUGUCUUUAAAAAUAUGACUAAAUCUGACCUGUUUUAAAUGGUGGAAAAAAACAUAUGUUGCUCUUCAAUCAGUGUUAGUUUCCUUUAUUGUCACGCUAACAGCAACCUGAACUUAUGCUGAACUGCUGUCUGGGCCAAUAUUUUCUGCAAGGUAAUUUGUUUCUGACUUGCUUUCCACACAUUUAAUUAAUAUAAAUGGAUUCUGAGUAACAUUGUAUUUCCUUCUUGUUUACAGCUACAUUAUUUUGCAGAUACUUGAUAAAUCACCUCAAUAAUUCUAAGGGCUAAAGAAGAUUCAUAUUUCCUUAAAGUCAAUGAGAAAAAUCUUGCAUUAUACACUAAAUUCUCUCACUGUGUGCGCUAGUGUCUCAUAAGACAUGUUCCCAAGUCUGCUCAGAAAAGAAACAGUUUAAAGCAGAGACUCAAAACAAAUAAACAGAACUAUUGGCUGAAGGGUGGUGUGCCUCUUGCUGACAGUGCCAGAGGUCCCAGAGUCAGGUCACAGCCCACAGGCCAGCUCUGUCUGUCUCACUUUGUACAGCUGCUCUGCAGCCCGUGAGUCAUGCUGUGGAGCUGCAUCCCUCUUCUGCAGACUGCCUAAAUCUCUUGGUGCUAUUUCUGCCACUGUGGAGUGAAGCUGGACCAUGGCCUGUCUUAAAAUCCAAGUUAUUUCAAAGCUGGUAUUAACAGGAAGAAAACUUCUCAUAGGAUGUAGUAACUUAUGGGAAAAAAAAAAAAAAAAAAAGGAAAAAAAAAUCUUUUGCUUACAAAAUCAAUAAUUUAAUCUAUGAAAACAUACAUUAUUUUAAAAAAGCAAUUUCCAUAUUAUCAGAGCAAUGGGAAGAAAAUAAAUUGUACACAGUCAGCUGGUAAUAAUGAAACCUGCUGAAGCUCAGCUGUAUAUAUGAUCCCUUCCAGCUGUUACUUGCAGCUCUAUUUUACAAUGCAAAUGUACUUAAAUUAAACUAUCAAAUACAUUAGAGAGGAAAUCCAUCUUUUUGACCUGUAUAAUUAAAACAAAAACAAAAACAAACAAACAAAAAAACAACAUAUAGGGCUAUAAUUUUAAUGUUCUAUAAAACUUAGUGAAAAACACUAAAAUAUUAACCACAUUUUAUUUCUAGCUUUUUCAAUGAUAACAUUUAAAAAAAUAGCUUUUAAAAUGAAGUUGUAAUUCCUCAUUUUUGUAUAGAUCUGAUAGCUGGGGGAGAAGAAGGGAGUUUGGGGUAUUUUGUGUAUGUGUGUGUGUAUCCUACCUUUCACUAAGUGAGUUCCCACCAUUUUCUCCUUCUCAGCGAAGACAGUCUGACAUUAAGCCCUUCAUCAUAGAUUAAGUGAAUCAAUAUAUUUCCCAAAUACCAGACCAGAGCAAUGGGUAGUAAUGACAGAAGAGCUUUCCCUGAGAUUGAUACCAUCAGAAGAAGCAAAUAAAAGGAAAUGUAAUGCAUAAAUGCCAUUGAAGUAUGCAACUGAUAUAAUGAUAACAUGAACACCACCUGCAUGUCUGACACUGUUGCCUCAUUAAAGUGUUGUCAUGACUGUUUUAGAGAUUGUGUUUCUAAUCCCUAGACUGUGUUCUGCAGGUUGAGUAAUUACAUCUUCUUUAGAAUCAUAGAAACAUUAAGGUUGGAAAAGACCUGCAAGAUCAUCCAGUCCAAUCAUUCACCUACUACCAAUACUGCCCACUAAACUGUGUUCCUUAGUAUCACAACUCCAUGUUUCUUGAACACCUCCAGGGACAGUGACUCCACCACCUUCCUGGGCAGCCUGUGCCAGCACCUGAUCACUCAGAGAAGAAAUUUUUCCUAAUAUCCAACCAGAACUUCCCCUGAUGCAACUUAGGGUCAUUCCCUCUUGUCCUAUCACUAACAGAUCACUACAGAUGGAAUUACUUGCUAGUGCAUUAUUGUAAAGUUGUAAAGAUUGAGAUGCUACAAGUAAUUAAUAUUCAUGCAUUUUCUAAAAAAAUCAAUGAAAGCAGAGAUUGCUUUUACGUUAAAAGGACAGACUUACAUAAAGGCAUUCAAGUGCAAAUAAUUGUGCCACCAUACUUACAAGUAUUUUUUGAUGUUUUAGAAGCAUAUUUACAAUCACAGAAAAAGAAUAAUUUUUUUCUAAUGAGGGGGAAAAAAUUUUGUUCAGUGUUUUCAAUUUCAGAUUUGCUCAGGUAAUUGAGGAUGAUAUGACAUCCAUUCUGCCCCAUACUAUCUUUUACAGUCUCGACACAUAAAUUAAAUACAAUAUGAUCGUCUUCAUCAUUUAUUUGAAAGAUGGGUAAAUCAAAAUAUAAUAUAUUAUACAAAGCCUGUGUUCGAGUGAAAUCCAAAUCCUUGUCUUUUUGAACUUUCUUAACUGGUUUAAUUUUCCAUCUCAGGCAAAGCAUCAUGCAUCUUUCAGUGAUAAAUAUGAUAACCCAGCUCAGAACUGUACUUGUUUAGCCAAGCAAAAACUUAACAGUUUUCCAUCUUUGCAGCCAGGAACUGCCUUUUCCUGAAAGGGUCUAACACCACAGUCUGGUCUGGAACAGCAGACAAUAGCUCAGAUGUUAAUAAAAACCAGUCUGCCAUACCACAUGCUUGCAUACUCAGCACUCCUAUCUUAUGUUCAACUAUGAUUAAGAAAGAUUCUUUGCCCAACUCCUCAAAACUCAUGCAAAUUAUACCUCUUAAAGAGCAAACUGUAAAUUUGGUUUUAGAAGAAUGGCAGCCUAUCUAAUAUGAAUGGAAUAUAACCCAAGUAUGUGAGUCUGAAGCUCUGACUCCAGCCUUUGGGCUCGGUCAGAGUUCUUGAGACUGCCUUUGUUACAGCUUAUACAUAAGUGAUAGAGAAAUUAAGCACAAAAUGUACAUUUGUUUUCACCUAACUGAUUUUAAUAGCAUAAAAGGAUCAGUAACAGGUUGAAAAAAAAUCUGAGCCAUAAUAAUUUAUCCAACAAAAUCUUCAGAAAAUGCAUCUCCAUCUCCCCUCUCCAGCUUUCCAUGGAGUACAAGCAAACAUUGUCUCAAGCACUGAUCUCAAUUUAGGUUACAUGUCAGUAUCACCUGUGUCCAAACUGAAACUGCUAAAUAUCCUGAGGAAAAAAUAUAUAUAUUUUUGAGACUUUGGAUUCAAAUAAAAGGAAGAAGUACAAGAUGGAUAAUUUGUUGUAAAAGCUAUUUCAGAUUUAGUUUAGCUGAAUUUGAAUAAUCAGAGUUCUCUGACUUUCUAAGUGCUUUUCUAAGCUAACCAUAUGGUUUAUUCGUAUAAAAUAUACAGUAAUAAUCUCACAAUUUUUCAUCUGCUUGAAAAGUUAUAGCAUACUGAAAGAGGGAAUAGCACAGUAUGAUGGAUUUAGCUUAUGGGCUGUUUCUGUGAACAAAUGUUAAGGAUGUAAAACUGAAAAUGGCAACAAGGAGAAUCUUUGAAUUUCACAGGAUAGUCGUGCCUGCAAGUCUGGUUAAAGAUGAUUAAAACUAAUAGCUCUUGGAUCAUGCUUACAGUUUGCAAGAACAUUUAACGAUUCCAGAAGCAGGUAUUGCAGGUUCUAAAUCACCUUUCCCAGAAGAAAAAAACUGUCAUUGUAGCUAUAGAUUUGGUGUUUGAUUUUACAGUAAAUAUGCAGAAUCCUUUUUAAUACUAAUACUUUAUUCUUAAUAACAAGGAAAUUCCAAGUCUAAAUAGAUGUGGUCUUUACAUGGGUAAGAAACCAACAUUCUGGAUGCUCAUUUAGAAAAGCAUUACAGUUUAGCACACCAAAAUGCAUGAAAAUGUUUGGAGAUCAAAUCAGUAAUAAUCAAUGCUAGAUAGAUCUGGUAUACAUUUGAUGGAUUUUAAAGAGGCAUGCUAUUUUUAAUUUAUGCUUUUUAAAUUAUUUUUAUGGAAGAUAUAAAAAAUAAAAAUGAUCUGGGCAGGCUUUAAAAAUUACCAAAAAAUUUGUGUUUCAACGAUAGGAAAAAGGUCAUAUACUACACAAUCCAGCAUUACAAUCUGCCGACAAAAAAUACAAAGGUGAAGGGUGACAGUAAAAGUAACUUUUAAGAGGGACAAAUAACAACUUCAAAGGAGGAUAUGAAUUGAAAAUGAAAUUUGUCAUCAAGAACAAAGGAUCAGGCAUACUGAGGUGAGAAAUAAGGCAUUAUACAUGUAAUGGGUUUUUGGUUAUAACUAUGACUCAUUAAAAAGCUAUUUGUUUUCCCGAAUUCACUGUUUAUACAGAAAUAAUUAAAGCUAAACAGGACUUUACUAAUAAAAACAGUUGUAACUAUCUUACAUUUUCUGUUUAACUCUAUUUUUCCUUCUGUUUAUGCUGAUUUGCACAAGGGAUGGAACAGUUGGAGCUCUGUAAAUCCUUCUUUUGUACUCUGUUUAACUUUGAUGAGCAAAAUGGAAAUGCUAAUCCCUUCUGCAGACACAUGAUUUCCUUCCUUUCCCCUCUCUCUGAGACAUUUGUUUUUAUGUGCUCCAGCCUUUGUUCCAAAGUCCCAAGGAGAUUCAUUUGAUGGACUCCUUUUCCCAGGGUCCUGGACUGAGCAAGGACUGUACAAUCCAGCAAUUCAUGAAGUUAAAGAGAGACAGGUCAGGGAUGCAUCAAAAUAGCUUCCUACCUCUCCAAUCUAUGCCUUUAGAACAAACAAAAAGGAGAGUCGGGGGCAUUCAGAAUCUCAGAAGUGAAUGUUCUGAGAAGCACUGAGAAGUGCUGGCCUGAAAUUUAGCUCUCCCUUUGGUAGCAGCUAACUUCAAUGAUUACAGGAUUUUGCAUUCUGCUUUCUCUUUGUUCUACAUAACAGUGAGCGUAUAUGUUAAAUCUGGAAAACAAAUAAUAGAAAAUCAUUAAGUAAUGAUGUCAUAUACCAAGAGCAAGUUGAGACAAACAUUUAUUUGGAUGAGAAGUGGAUUGUUUAGGACAGUAUGCACCUUAGUAAAGCUCUUCAUGAACACUCAGUGGGAACAGUUUGGAGUGCCAAAUACUACUUUCAUUUCAAAAAUUUAAUGCUGUUCAAUUGGAUCAGGUUGAGGUAUGUAUAAGGGCUGCUCCAAAAGUAAUGCAUCUUACUUCAUUACAUUGGCCCAAGACAUCAGAGGCAGAUGUUGGUGGCAUGGGAGCAGAGGUUAAAUCUUCCCACCAAUAUUCCGUUACAUUUUGUUGCUGUGUGACACAUAGCAGCAAAGGGGCAGUGUGAUAGAAUGGCAUCUGACAUGGAAGUGAAUUUGAAGCACAGGUGUGUCUUCCAAUUGCAGAAAAAACUGGACUCACUGACAUUCAUUAAUGCUUGUUGAACAUUUAUAGAGAGCAAGCAGUGGAUUUGAGCAGGUUGAGGUGGUGGGUGGAGUGUUUCAGCAAUGACACUGUCAUAGCAGCUGUGGUUCAUUUCUGUUGGUGCAGAGUUUUAUGAGUGCUGCAUGCAGGCCCUUGUUCAUCACUGCAGAAAACGCAUAGCUAAUGGUGGUGACUCUUUUUGGCCCAUUUCUUGUGAUCAGUGUACCUGCAGAGUCCCUUGUUAUUUUUCACAUCCCUCACCAAGUGCACUUCCAUCUGCACUCUGGCUUCCCUGAUGCCAUAUUUGCAUGCCCAGAUAGCAUCCCUGUAUUUCUCCCACAUGACACAUACCUACUUACCCUGCCUGUACAUGUUCUUCUUAUCCCUCAGUUUGACCUGCAGGUCCUUGCCCGGCCAUGCUGGUUUCCUGCCUCCCCCACUUGUUCUCCUGUACUGGAGGACAGAGAGCACUUGUACUCUCAGAAGGGCAUUCUCUUCUCUGUAAUGAAAUUAAUGUCCCUUCCCCAUACUAAUAUUAAUGCUAACCAGUUAAUGCAAAAGUUAACAUGCUAAUGUUACUUCAGUUUUGGUUAUGUGACACAGAAUAUCCUGUCAAAUGAAUACGUAUGGAUCUGUUAGGUAUGAGCAAAAUGAGAAUGUCCCUCCUUCACAUCACCGAGCGUACUUACCACAUAAUGCAAGUGACCUAAAUUUCCUCGUGUGGCUGAUGCACUUCUGAUCAUGGAAUCUGGAAAAGAGUUGUCAGACAUCUAGUAUGUCUUUUUAAGGGUCUGUAUGGCUUGAGCAGCUUAAGUUACUGUCACCAGUAUUACAAUACUCCUCUCCUUUAUUUAGACUGGUCCCAGGCCCAAGAGAAGGUGACCUUUCAUUUUAUUACUGUUGUUUUUUAUGAAAAUAGAUAAAUAUCUUCACUGACUGCUCUUACUCUAUCAUUUCAAACUGGGAGCAUCUUUUAGCCACGUGCUAAGUAGAAACAGAACAAAUGAUUCAUUUGGGGACUCUUGUGUCACUCCUUCCAAAGCUGGACAUUAUCCUCCUUGAUUAAAAGUAGCAAGCAAACUUGACAGAUGUGAAGUAGCAGAGUAAAAAUCUGUACUUCUGGUCAGGUUGGCAGACUAGAAAUGCGAUGACAGGGAAUCUUAAUGAUGUAUACAAGCUCUCUUUCUGAGGGUCAGACAGGGUUUUUCAUUUCAUGGAGAAAAUACUAUUCUUCCUACACAUUCUUUAUUAUCAGAAGUUUCUGAGGAUGAAUCUGUGAGGCCCAAAAGAAAAAAAAAAAGCAAAGAAAAUAAUUGUAUUUAUUAAGUGAAUGCUGACAGUCUGAAUCAAAGACUCUGCAUUAUAAUCAAAGUUUUGGAAAAACAAGACUAGGACAACCCUGAGGCUUUGGCAUUGAGUUCAAGAACACAGCUAGCAGUCAUUGUACCUCCAGGAGCUGGGAGAACUGAAAUGGAAACAAAGUCUUCUCAAGAAUACAAGGGAAUAAAUUAAUUCAUUUUGCGAUGCCAGCAAUUAUACAGUAGGAAUGCAUUUUUAGUUAAAAAGUGUUAGACAAUGACCACAGUUGGAUAUGCUUCCAGCUCUAGUCCCGCUAGAAAAACCACUAGAUGCAAUGGAACUCUCCAUUAACUUUAGCAAGCUUUUAAUCAAGCCCAAUUCACAAAGUCAGACAGCAAGUUUUAGAGAUAACUAGGGAUGUUUACAAGACAGUAACUUAAACUCCACAGUCCUCUCCAGAGGACCUGGAGAAAAAAAGAAGUCUCUGAAGGGACUAAUUACAGGACAUGAAAAGAUCAUUUGCAAAUGUCCUUUAGCUAGACCCAGGAGUUUCAUUAUCUUCUGUGAUAACAGGAUUCAGAAAACACUAGACAGUAAUCCAAAUCAUAAACUUUCUGUGAGCUUUUUUUGAAUGCUUGUCUUUGUGAUCAGAAAUAUCACCAGUGCUUACACAAACUUUCUUUUCCUUUGCUUUUGUGGGGAUAAUAUUCUCCAACUGCUUAACUGUUGGGUCUCUUGGGUUUCUAUCUAGUCUAGGGCUGCUGGCAUCCAAGGUCAAAGAAAAUGUGAAACAUUAAUUCUACCAUCAAAUAGAGUGUGUCCCCCACAGAUAUGCCGCUCAGUCUCCAACUUCUGCUUACUUAAGUCAUAAAAUGCACCCCAAAAAUAAUUUUCUUUCUUUGACCCUUUUAUUUUAAUUUGAAAAAAUUAUGUGCCACAUAAGACAUCAUGUUCUGAAUUUUGUGAUAUACUUUGUAUAAAAUGUAGGCUUUUCCAAAUAAGUUUCCAUACCUCUAACAAAAAAAUAAUACCAGCAUCAAUAACUGUAAUACAACAUCUGCCUUCAGUUCAUUUUAUUUGCUUACUGGCCUCCUUGUUUCUGCAAAAACAAAGCUAGCAAAGUAUAUUGUAUUCUAGCAGGAAUGGGAAAAUAGUAAGCCACGAAAAUCAAGAUUAUGGUAAGACCCAGAAACUAAAGUGGAUUGAAUGGUUUUGGUCUUAAUAAAAUAAAACCUAUAGACCAAAACUGCCAAAAGCUUUAGACCCUAGGCCACAGUAAGUGAGAAUCAACUUAUCUGUGUAAAGAACUGAGAAAAUAAACAUGAGUAUAGACCUGAAGAAGUUGUUUUAGAUAAGAAUUUUCCUUCGACGAAGGAUACAAGAUUGAAGUCUUUUCUACAAGCGCUUAUCUAGAGAGAACACUUUUUAUAAAUGAGAAAGACUUAUUUAGAAUGAGCAUUUGGAAAUUGCAUCUUUUAAAAGACCGAGCACAGAAUAAAAUAAAAUACUUAAGAGUCAAAUAAUGUUAAUUACUUCAUUAUGUGGAACAACAUAAAAAUUACCAGUAGGAUACAUUUUACUGCAGAAGGUAUAGCUAUUUGUUAUGUGGCCUUUAAGGAGUAUACUCAGGCUGUGAAAGCAAGUAGGUCAUUAACUUCAGGAGUAAACCACAGUACUUUGAGUUUAAAACUAUUGACCAGAAGAAAAAUUGCAACAGGACUCAGUAGUGUGGUGCUCCCACAGCACUUACUGUGGGAAGGAAUUUUCAAGAAGGAAAUUAAAAUUAUCGGAUGUAAUGAUUCAAGGUCUAUCUUUUGAUAAGAAUUAUAUUAAGCUGAACCUUCCCAUCACCUAGGAGUAGUUAUAGUAGUGUAAGGCACUUGGCAGCCUGUUCCAGUGCCUGAACCUCCUCUGGUGCAACUUCAGGCCAUUACAUCUCAUCUAUCACUAGUUAACUGGGAGAAAAGGCUGACCCCCAUAUGCUACAAUCUCCUUUCAGUUUGUUGCAGACAGCAGUAAGAUUUCCCUGAGCCUCCUUUUCUACAGACUAAAUAAUCCCAGUUCCCCCAGUCACUCCCUACAAGACUUGUGCUCCAGGUCCUUAAAAGCUGUGCAGCCCUUCUCUGGGCAUGUUCCAAAGUCUCAGUGUCUUUCCUGUAGUCAGGGGCUGAAAACUGAACACAGAGCUCGAGGUGAGGCCUUACCAGUGCCAACUGCAGAGGGAUGAUCACCUCCCUUGUCCUGCUGGCUACAAUAUUCCUGAUACAAGCCAGGAUGCCAUUGGCCUUCUUGGCCAACUAGGCACACUUCUGGCUCAUGUUCAGCCAGCUGUUGACCUGCACCCACAGAUCCUUUUGCUCUGUGCCACUCUGCCCCAAAUCUGUAGCAAUGCAUAGGAUUGUUGUGGCCAAAGUGGAGAACUUGAUGCUUGAUCUUGUUAAACUUCAUCCCAUUGGCUUCAGUCCAGAGAUCAGCCAAUCCAAAUCCUUCUGUAGGGCCUUCCCACCCUUUGGCAGAUCAACGCUACCUCCCAGUGUGGUGUCAUCUGCGAACUUACUGAGAGUGCCCUCAAUCUCCUUGUCCAGAUUACCAAUAAAGAUAGUAAAAGGACAGGCCCCAGUGCUGGCCACUGAGGAAAACCACUCACGAUUGGUCACCAGCUGGUUUUAACUCCAUUCACCAUUGCUCUCUGGGCCUGUCAUCCAGCCAAGUAUUUUAACGCAGUGAAGAGUACCAAUCAUGUCCAAGUCAUGAGCUGCUACUUCUCAAGGAAAGUACUGUGGGAGACAGAGUCAAAGGCUUUACUGAAGGUAACCUAGGUAGGUUGCAGAAGAAAAACAUGGGAAAGAGUAGGUCCUUUAAGUACUGUCUCAGAAGUACUUAGAGAGAGAAAAAAAAAUCCUCUAAAUACAUAUUACCCACAGCAGAUUGAAAUAAAUUAAAUAUUAUCACAUGCAAAAAAUAUGUCAUAGGAAAAUUAUUCCAUCUGCUAUC